CCUACGGGCGGCAGCAGUGGGGAAUCUUGCACAAUGGGGGAAACCCUGAUGCAGCGACGCCGCGUGCGCGAGGAAGUCUUUCGGUAUGUAAAGAUCUAUCAGCAUGGACGAAAAAAGACGGUACCUGACUAAGAAGCACCGGCUAACUACGUGCCGGCAGCAGCGGUCAUACGUAGGGGGCAAGCGUUAUCCGGAUUUACGGGGUGUAAAGGGAUCGUAGACGUCAAGGCAAGCCAGAAGUGAAAGGCAAGGGCUCAACCCUGUACAUGCUUUUGGAACUGUGGGGCUAGAGGGCAGGAGAGGUAAGUGGAAGUCCUAGUGUAGCGGGGAAAUGCGUAGAUAUUAGGAGGAACACGAGUGGCGAAGGCGGCUUACUGGACUGUAACUGACGUUGAGGCUCGAAAGCGUGGGGAGCAAACAGGAUUAGAUACCCUAGUAGUC
Molecule: ribosomal RNA, 441 nt
Filed under: uncultured bacterium
Lineage: Bacteria
Description: partial 16S ribosomal RNA
Rfam family: Bacterial small subunit ribosomal RNA
Source: RNAcentral